CUGACGGCUCCAUCCACAGACUUGGCUGAGAUCCCACAGCUGGUAAAUGAGAACCUGCAUUCAGUCCCCCAGUGUGCUGACUCCAAAGAAGACAGCCUCAGCUUCUCUCCAGAUACCAGAUACCAGAUAGCCUGCCAGUACUGAUUCCACGGGGUCUCCCCUCAAGAGGACAUGGAAGAUGGGCAAGUGUCGUGGUCUCCAAACUGCCCGGAAGCUCCGCAGUCACCGACGGGACCAGAAGUGGCAUGACAAACAAUACAAGAAAGCCCACUUGGGCACAGCCCUGAAGGCCAAUCCAUUUGGGGUGCCUCUCAUGCAAAGGGAAUUGUGCUGAAAAAGUAGGGGUUGAGGCCAAACAGCCAAACUCUGCCGUCAGGAAGUGUGUCAGGGUGCAGCUCAUUAAGAAUGGCAAGAAGAUCACAGCGUUCGUGCCCAAUGAUGGCUGCCUGAACUUCAUUGAGGAAAAUGAUGAAGUUCUGGUUGCUGGAUUUGGUCGGAAAGGGGUCAUGCUGUAGGUGAUAUUCCUGGAGUCUGCUUUAAGGCGGUUAAAGUAGCCAAUGUUUCUCUGUUGGCUCUAUACAAAGGCAAGAAAGAAAGGCCAAGAUCAUAAAAUUUGACAAUGGAAACACAGUAAUAAAUUUUCAUAUUCUGAAAAAAAAAAAAAAA
Mus musculus (house mouse) is the source of this 666-nucleotide RNA transcript. It is a transcript of the gene named predicted gene 8624, with no coding region annotated. Lineage: Eukaryota; Metazoa; Chordata; Mammalia; Rodentia; Muridae. The transcript is spliced from 2 exons. The record is from RefSeq and is marked validated.